Molecule: non-coding RNA, 92 nt
Organism: Gymnopus androsaceus JB14
Lineage: Eukaryota; Fungi; Basidiomycota; Agaricomycetes; Agaricales; Omphalotaceae
Source: the annotation of a GenBank genome assembly
GGUGUGGUGGGGUAGUGGUUAGCCUGGGGUCCAAUAGUGAAUGCACAAUAUUGAGUUGAACCCAGAUGCAAGUUCAAAUCUUGCCUGCACCC